Molecule: ribosomal RNA, 484 nt
Filed under: uncultured bacterium
Lineage: Bacteria
Description: partial 16S ribosomal RNA
Rfam family: Bacterial small subunit ribosomal RNA
Source: RNAcentral
AUUGAACGCUAGCGGGAUGCUUUACACAUGCAAGUCGAACGGCAGCGCGGACUUCGGUCUGGCGGCGAGUGGCGAACGGGUGAGUAAUGUAUCGGAACGUGCCCAGUAGCGGGGGAUAACUACGCGAAAGCGUAGCUAAUACCGCAUACGCCCUACGGGGGAAAGCAGGGGAUCGUAAGACCUUGCACUAUUGGAGCGGCCGAUUUCGGAUUAGCUAGUUGGUGAGGUAACGGCUCACCAAGGCGACGAUCCGUAGCUGGUUUGAGAGGACGACCAGCCACACUGGGACUGAGGCACGGCCCAGACUCCUACGGGAGGCAGCAGUGGGGAAUUUUGGACAAUGGGGGCAACCCUGAUCCAGCCAUCCCGCGUGUGCGAUGAAGGCCUUCGGGUUGUAAAGCACUUUUGGCAGGAAAGAAACGUCGCGGGCUAAUACCCCGUGGAACUGACGGUACCUGCAGAAUAAGCACCGGCUAACUACGUG